RNAcentral lists this ribosomal RNA (636 nucleotides) under uncultured fungus. Its description in RNAcentral is "eukaryotic LSU rRNA". It matches the Rfam family "Eukaryotic large subunit ribosomal RNA", at positions 1 to 633 of the family's 3401-position model. Lineage: Eukaryota; Fungi. The record is from RNAcentral.
UUGACCUCAAAUCAGGUAGGACUACCCGCUGAACUUAAGCAUAUCAAUAAGCGGAGGAAAAGAAACUAACAAGGAUUCCCCUAGUAACUGCGAGUGAAGCGGGAAAAGCUCAAAUUUAAAAUCUGGCGGUCCUCGCGGCCGUCCGAGUUGUAAUCUGGAGAAGCGUUUUCCGCGUCGGACCGUGUACAAGUCUUCUGGAAUGGAGCGUCGUAGAGGGUGAGAAUCCCGUCUCUGACACGGACCGCCGAUGCUUUUGUGAUACGCUCUCGAAGGGUCGAGUUGUUUGGGAAUGCAGCUCAAAACGGGUGGUAAAUUCCAUCUAAAGCUAAAUAUUGGCGAGAGACCGAUAGCGAACAAGUACCGUGAGGGAAAGAUGAAAAGCACUUUGGAAAGAGAGUUAAACAGUACGUGAAAUUGUUGAAAGGGAAACGUUUGAAGUCAGUCGCGUCGGUCGAGACUCAACCUUGCUCUUUUGCUCGGUGCACUUCUCGGCCGACGGGUCAGCAUCAAUUUCGACCGUCGGAUAAAGGCCGAGGGAAUGUGGCAUCUUUCGGGAUGUGUUAUAGCCUUCGGUUCGCAUACGGCGAUCGGGAUUGAGGAACUCAGCGCGCCUUUAUGGUCGGGGCUUCGGCUCAC